CUCCCUGACCCUCCUUGAAUACAUAUACGAGGCCACCCCCUAGCCAUCAACCGGAGAGCUCUGGGUCGGAUGCCCCUCCACCACGGACCGGUGCAGAGAGAAAAAAAACCUCCGCCUAAACUGCGUUCUGGAUUCGCUUAGGAUUUGGGGCAUGUUGUUUGGCCACUGGGAUCUCCAUGGUGUGCGUGACGUCCAUGCAUGGGUUGCGAGCGUCGAGAUGGACUCACGGUUGGGCAAUUUCUUGUCAGAAUUUGAUCGUUGUCGCCAUGCCGCUGCACUACGCGGCGAAAGGUUUCGCAACUCCGAGGACCGGUAAGACCCUCUCUGCAUCCUCCGCUUGGUCCUUCUUGUGGCGAUUGAAUUCGUUGGUUUGCGGAUCGGGCAGCGGGGCAUCGGCCAUGGCCUCGCCGGCGAGCAGUGCUGCCAUGGGGUGCCGGUGCGUCUCUGAGGCUCUGGCCGGAGGAGGGAGAGAACCUUGACCGUCGAUUCCCAAUGGACGAUAGGGAUUAGAGCUUGGCAUAUCCCUUCGUACGUGCGAUCCGGGCCGUUGAUCUCGGGAGCAAGGAUCGUGAUCAUGUACUGGUUCGGGUAUGUGGGUCAUUUAAUCAGGACCAUCCAUAUUUGAUCGGGCAGCUCUAGGUCCCCAAUACCUCUUCGUCGUUGCCUUUUUGCUAAAGAGCCCCUGUGGAUCAUACAAAUGAACCCGCAGGGUAGUGUUAAGGUAUUAAACUUAAGUCCUAGCGUUUUCAGAACAGCCCAUGUGCUCUCUGGAUUUUGUUUUCGCCGUCCAAACUCUUUGGGUAUUACAAAAAUAAAAAUCAGAAAUGGAUUUAGGGUAUAAAGAGAUUCAAUAAACUUAGAAAAUCCAUAACUUUUGCGAUCUAACUCUGUUUUAGUCCGUUCUAGUUGCGUUGGCUUUGUAAUAAUAUUUUCAACAUAGUAGCGAACCUUAUUUCGAUAUAUCACAUGCUAUUAUAAUUAGAUAUCCGUUUACCCUUUAAGUAGUAGGUUUAUUUUACUAAUCAAGAUUGACAGGUCUAUAAAUUAUAAUUUGACUAUAAUAUGAUUACUAUUCAAGUUAUAAUUGAGAUUAAAGUUGAGUUAAUUAUUUAUAAAAUAUUCUCUCAUAUGGUGUAUACCAAUCAAUUUAUAAUACAGUUUAAUAUUUAAAUCACAUGGAUCAUCCUUAAAACACAACUCCUUAACCGUAUUCCGAUUUUAGCGAUUCCUGAACCCGCGAUCUCGUUAUGAUGCGUAGAUCAUUAUUAUUUAGUUUGUGCUUCUGUUUGGUGUGAUGUUAAUUUUGCCUAUACCAUGUUUGUUUGGAUUACUACAAAUAGUAGUGAGGUUUCGAGAAUCUGAAGAUCAUCCUGGUACCUGUAAUCUCGAGUCCCAGGCAAGUUGUGCCCUUGAUCACUUUUAUUUAUCCAAUAAUGUUCUAUAUAAUCAUUUUAUCAUGCAUAGGCUUAAUUUUGAUGGGACCCAAUAGUCACCCUAGUUUGGUCAUCUUUACACCUUGUUUACCCCUGAACUUUUGGGUAGUCUUUGCUAUUGCUAUAUAUGGUUUUGGGUGUUGAGAUAACUACUACACAUGCUCAUUCUUUAUUAUUAUUGUUCUAUUUCUGUUCAUGAUAAGAGCAUUAUGUUAAUUGGAACAUCGAGCUUAACUUGAGAAGCACGUGCCGCCACAAGGGUGGAAUGGGACGCCCUUGGCUGACUAAUUAGGAAAGCUAGUGGAGGACUACUUUACCUGAAAGGGGCAAGGGAAGUAGGGGAGUAGGCGUGCAGGGAGGUUCUCGGGUUGAUUUUGCUGCGAUGACGCUCAAACGGGGAUUCCUGCAUUGCUCUUCUUAGAAACUGUAGCAUGUUUUCUGAAGCUAGUGGAACUUUGUAAAGGACUCGUAGUGUUACCUUGCCUCACUUCCUUGGUAGAGGUGUAUGGGGCCCAUACAACCCCGUGGCAGAUGGGUAACAUGACUUGUUGGUAAAGGGUACCACCUCUGCGAAGUGUAAAACUGGUAUACUAGACGUGCUCGCGGUCAUGAGCAACUCAGGACUCUCACAUGAUUAAUUUAUAGAAUUAAAUUCAAUUUGUCAUUUGCAUCACAUUGUGGUUUAUUAUUAAUUUUGAUCUAUUAUUACUUUUUUGGUAUCUAUAUACACUUAGUAACUGCAAAUAAAAUUUUGACCAACUUUAAAAGCAAUGCUUAGCUUCAAUCAUCCUCUUUGGUAAGCCUUACACUUCACAUGAGCUCCCACCUUUGGCGGGUUCAUGCACAUUAUUCCCCACAACUUGUUGAGCGAUGAACGUAUGUGAGCUCACCCUUGUUGUCUCACACCCCCAUAGGUCAAGAACAAGUACCGCAUGAUGAGGCGCAUGGUGAAUGUUGUGAUGAGUUCGUGAGAGGUCUAGGCCGUCGUCUCCCAGACAACUUUGGGUUGCUGGAUCAUUGUCUUCAUAUGAUGUAAUUAUUUAUUUAUUUUGUACAUAACUCCUAUUAUAUAGUAAAGAUGUGACAUUCGUUUCUGUAUCAUGGGUCAUCAUAUGUGUGAGACUUGGUCCCAGCACACUUGGUGAUUACGUUCGCGACCAGGUCUU
RNAcentral lists this long non-coding RNA (2599 nucleotides) under Zea mays. RNAcentral describes it as "long non-coding RNA (ZMAY_LNC003177)". Lineage: Eukaryota; Viridiplantae; Streptophyta; Magnoliopsida; Poales; Poaceae. The record is from RNAcentral.